Long non-coding RNA from Apus apus (common swift), 2292 nucleotides. RefSeq lists it as uncharacterized. NCBI's taxonomy places the organism in Eukaryota, Metazoa, Chordata, Aves, Apodiformes, Apodidae. The record is from RefSeq and is a predicted model, not a curated record. The transcript has 2 exons.
GCCGAGGGGCGGCCCGGGCCGCUCAUGGCCUCCUGCGCCGGGCGCGGCGCUGACGGCGAGUCGAGAGGGGCCGGGGAUGAUCCUGCCCGCCCGCCCGGCCGGGCUCGGCGGCAGCGAGGGGCGGGGGCUGGGCUCCGGGGCCUGGCGAGCCCGGCGCGGCGGCCAAGGGGGUGGCUGGGGCUGCGCGGGGGCAGAGCCGCCCUCCGUGCCCGGGAGGCCCCUGAGGCCCCUGGUGCCGUCACCAGCAGCCGGGGUGCUCCGGGGGGUCGGUGUGCGGGCAGGGCUGCGUGGCUCUCCGGGGUGUCGAGCCCCUUCCCACCCACACCUGGCUUUUCUGCUUGUUUUGUGUUUUAUUUUUUCCUUUUCAGGCACUGCUAAAAGUGGGGGCGCGCGAGAACAGAAGUGUUAAGUAAAAAUGUCAGGCAUUGGAGAGGUGGUUUUUAAUGAGAACAGCCGCUGGUUUGGCCCGGGCACUGACAGCUUCCUGCCCCAAAAGAAGUGUUUUGCUGGGAGUCUGCCUGUUUCUGCAUGCAGCACUGCUGGACAGGUGUAUGGAACUGCAGAGACGGGUGUUGCGUGCUGUGGAAUGAAGGCACAGUAAAGUUACUGUCAUUAUCUCUUAAAAAUAAUAUUUUAAUUAUAUUUAUUCCGCUCUGUGUCGGGGCCUUGUCCAGUAAUCAUACCUGUGUAUAAUGUUAGCAAAACUCCUGCCACCUUUGGAAGCUUAGUAGUUAAUACAGUUGUUCAGAAAAGCCUGCUUGUUAUUCUAAUAUGAACUUACUUCUGAUCAUCACACUGCACUUACUGUAACUUUUUUCCUCUAUCAAAUGUUUGAUGGGUUUUCUUGGGGUCCUUAAACCUCAUGUGAUGGUGUUAACUUUUGUAUGCCAGUUACUCCAUUGUAUUGUUCAGUCUUAGACUUGUUUUGCUCUUGUAUCAUUUGUAGUUGCUCUUUGAAAUCUCUGGUUUACUAGUAACUUCUUGGACUAGAUGCAUGAUUCUGAUAAAGCUGUUCCAAUAAACGUGGACACAGAAUUGUCAUUCUGUUGCUGCUUCCUGAAAUGCAUCAAUGCCCUUUGCCAAUGGAGAUGAGCACUUGAAAAAUCCGUUUUCAUGACAGUCUCAGUUUCUCUGGCCUCUUCCUCCCUGCAAGGAAAGCAGCAUUUGGUUCUGGUUUGUUUUCUGAGCCAUUUAAUAAUUACAUUGCCAAUUUUGAACUUAAUUAUGCAUAAGGAACCCAUGUUUACUUUGUUAUCAGCUAUUUCAGCUACUUCCUGAGGAAGUUUUCCAUCUACAAAUGUUUCAUAUUCAUCACUCUUAAAGACAUGAUCUCACACUGAUCAUGCUGAAGCACUUAAUUUUCCAGUAAUCCAGAUGGUUCAAAAUCAGCAAUCUUGCUACAUUAUUUACUUAAGAGCUUUUAUUAAUGUUCUUAGUAAACCUUAUCUGCAGAUAAAAUAUUGAGUAGCUUGCUGCCAAGACCCCAGUUCUUGUGGGAUUCAAUCAGAAAUGUGUCUGAUUCCUCAUGGAUGACACAGAUCUGUAACCUUAGUUUUUAUUUGCUUACUAUGAACUGUAUGUGCAUAACUAUGGUGGUUUCUCUGUGUCCUUCUGAGUAAGUCAAUGUACAAAUGUGUUAUGUCAACAUUGUUCCUAUUGCCUACAAAACAUGUGCUAUAAAUGGAUGAGGAAAAAAGACAAUCUGAAAAGAUAGUUUUUCCAUACAUUCAAGCUGUGUAAUUUAAGUAGAAUUUUCUCAUUUAUUUCUGGUUCUUCUAUCAAGAAGUCAGGUUUGUGGGUUGGCUUUUUUUCUUGGGGAUUUAUGCAACGUUGACAGUAAGUUCCUGAAUUUGUUCCUUUCUUACUUUUUUCCCCCUACUAUUGGCACCACCUCAGCUUUCUUUGAGAUUCUUUUUUUUUUUUUUUAUUGAGCUUCCCCAGAUUUCUCAAAGCUUAUGGAAAAUCCACAUUAACAGCACAUGAGUCUCCUUUGCCAGCUCUUAAAAUUCUUGGAUGCAAGCUAUCUGGAGCUGCUGAUGUAAAAACCGCUUUACUUCUGUUCCUAUGUUUAAGGCUUUCCUUAGCUACUGUUAGAAUUUUUUGCUAUAUGUUGUUUUUUCUCCACAAGUAUAGAACAGAAAUGUAUCUAAACUUUCUGCUUUCUCUGAAAUACACUAUGAAAAUACUCUCUUGUGUUAUUCAGGUGUGUAAAAAUCCAUUAUAAAUACCACUUUUCCCCCACCUUCUGAAUAUCUUGUCAUUCUUUGCUUCUAAUAAAUAUUUUGUAUCAUG